Molecule: ribosomal RNA, 1345 nt
Filed under: uncultured bacterium
Lineage: Bacteria
Description: partial 16S ribosomal RNA
Rfam family: Bacterial small subunit ribosomal RNA
Source: RNAcentral
GACGAACGCUGGCGGCGUGCUUAACACAUGCAAGUCGAACGGAAAGGCCCUUCGGGGUACUCGAGUGGCGAACGGGUGAGUAACACGUGGGUGAUCUGCCCUGCACUUUGGGAUAAGCCUGGGAAACUGGGUCUAAUACCGAAUAGGACCACGCGCUUCAUGGUGUGUGGUGGAAAGCUUUUGCGGUGUGGGAUGGGCCCGCGGCCUAUCAGCUUGUUGGUGGGGUAAUGGCCUACCAAGGCGACGACGGGUAGCCGGCCUGAGAGGGUGACCGGCCACACUGGGACUGAGAUACGGCCCAGACUCCUACGGGAGGCAGCAGUGGGGAAUAUUGCACAAUGGGCGCAAGCCUGAUGCAGCGACGCCGCGUGAGGGAUGACGGCCUUCGGGUUGUAAACCUCUUUCAAUAGGGACGAAGCGCAAGUGACGGUACCUAUAGAAGAAGCACCGGCCAACUACGUGCCAGCAGCCGCGGUAAUACGUAGGGUGCGAGCGUUGUCCGGAAUUACUGGGCGUAAAGAGCUCGUAGGUGGUUUGUCGCGCUGUUCGUGAAAACUCACAGCUUAACUGUGGGCGUGCGGGCGAUACGGGCAGACUAUAGUACUGCAGGGGAGACUGGAAUUCCUGGUGUAGCGGUGGAAUGCACAUAUAUCAGGACGAACACCGGUGGCGAAGGCGGGCCUCUGGGCAGUAACUGACGCUGAGGAGCGAAAGCGUGGGGAGCGAACAGGAUUAGAUACCCUGGUAGUCCACACCGUAAACGGUGGGUACUAGGUGUGGGUUCCUUCCUUGGGAUCCGUGCCGUACCUAACGCAUUAACUACCCCGCCUGGGGAGUACGGCCGCAAGGCUAAAACUCAAAGGAAUUGACGGGGGCCCGCACAAGCGGCGGAGCAUGUGGAUUAAUUCGAUGCACCGCCAAGAACUUUACCUGGGUUUGACAUGCACAGGACGCCGGCAUAAAUGUCGGUCUCCCUUGUGGCCUGUGUGCAGGUGGUGCAUGGCUGUCGUCAGCUCGUGUCGUGAGAUGUUGGGUUAAGUCCCCCAACGAGCGCAAUCCUUGUCCUAUGUUGCCAGCGGGUUAUGCCGGGCACUCAUAGGAUAGUGCCGGGGCUCAACUCAGAGGAAGGUGGGGACCACGUCCAAUCAUCAUGCCCCUUAUGUCCAGGGCUUCCCACAUGCUUCAAUGGGCCGGUACAAUGGGCCUGCCACUCCAUGGGGUGCCACCCAAUCCUUUCCAAGCCCGGUCUCCGAUUGAAUUCGGCUUGUGCCACUUCAACCCCCGAAACUCCGAUUCCUUAUAUUUCCACAACCUCUUCGCUGGGAGUGAAACCGUUCCCGGGCUC